Molecule: ribosomal RNA, 250 nt
Filed under: uncultured bacterium
Lineage: Bacteria
Description: partial 16S ribosomal RNA
Rfam family: Bacterial small subunit ribosomal RNA
Source: RNAcentral
UGAGGGAUAUUGCACAAUGGGCGAAAGCCUGAUGCAGCGACGCCGCGUGGGUGAAGAAGGCCUUCGGGUCGUAAAGCCCUUUUCCCACUGAAGAGGAAGGACGGUAAGUGGGGAAUAAGUCUCGGCUAACUACGUGCCAGCAGCCGCGGUAAAACGUAGGAGGCAAGCGUUAUCCGGAGUUACUGGGCGUAAAGAGCGCGCAGGCGGUUCGAUAAGUGGGUCGUGAAAGCUCCCGGCUAAACUGGGAGAG